This 584-nucleotide ribosomal RNA is filed under the name uncultured bacterium. RNAcentral describes it as "partial 16S ribosomal RNA". It matches the Rfam family "Bacterial small subunit ribosomal RNA", at positions 355 to 1375 of the family's 1533-position model. The record is from RNAcentral.
UGGGGAAUUUUGGACAAUGGGCGAAAGCCUGAUCCAGCAAUGCCGCGUGUGUGAAGAAGGCCUUCGGGUUGUAAAGCACUUUUGUCCGGAAAGAAAUCCUUGGCUCUAAUACAGUCGGGGGAUGACGGUACCGGAAGAAUAAGCACCGGCUAACUACGUGCCAGCAGCCGCGGUAAUACGUAGGGUGCAAGCGUUAAUCGGAAUUACUGGGCGUAAAGCGUGCGCAGGCGGUUUGCUAAGACCGAUGUGAAAUCCCCGGGCUCAACCUGGGAACUGCAUUGGUGACUGGCAGGCUAGAGUAUGGCAGAGGGGGGUAGAAUUCCACGUGUAGCAGUGAAAUGCGUAGAGAUGUGGAGGAAUACCGAUGGCGAGGGCAGCCCCCUGGGCAAUACUGACGCUCAUGCACGAAAGCGUGGGGAGCAAACAGGAUUAGAUACCCUGGUAGUCCACGCCCUAAACGAUGUCAACUAGUUGUUGGGGAUCAUUUCCUUAGUAACGUAGCUAACGCGUGAAGUUGACCGCCUGGGGAGUACGGUCGCAAGAUUAAAAACUUAAAGGAAUUGACGGGGUCAUAGCUGUUUCCU